UGGGGAAUAUUGCACAAUGGGCGCAAGCCUGAUGCAGCAACGCCGCGUGAACGAUGAAGGUCUUCGGAUCGUAAAGUUCUGUUGCCGGGGAAGAUAAUGACGGUACCCUGUGAGGAAGCCCCGGCUAACUACGUGCCAGCAGCCGCGGUAAUACGUAGGGGGCUAGCGUUAUCCGGAUUUACUGGGCGUAAAGGGUGCGUAGGUGGUCUUUCAAGUCGGUGGUUAAAGGCUACGGCUCAACCGUAGUUAGCCUCCGAAACUGGAAGACUUGAGUGCAGGAGAGGAAAGUGGAAUUCCCAGUGUAGCGGUGAAAUGCGUAAAUAUUGGGAGGAACACCAGUAGCGAAGGCGGCUUUCUGGACUGCAACUGACACUGAGGCACGAAAGCGUGGGUAGCAAACAGG
RNAcentral lists this ribosomal RNA (403 nucleotides) under Verrucomicrobiota bacterium. Its description in RNAcentral is "Verrucomicrobia bacterium partial 16S ribosomal RNA". It matches the Rfam family "Bacterial small subunit ribosomal RNA", at positions 355 to 776 of the family's 1533-position model. The record is from RNAcentral. Lineage: Bacteria; Pseudomonadati; Verrucomicrobiota.